GCCUGGGUGGCUCAGUUGAUUAGGCAUCUGACUCUUGAUUUCGGCUCAGGUCACGAUCUCAUAGUUUGUGGGUUUGAGCCCCACCUCAGGCU
Molecule: transfer RNA, 92 nt
Organism: Felis catus (domestic cat)
Lineage: Eukaryota; Metazoa; Chordata; Mammalia; Carnivora; Felidae
Rfam family: tRNA
About the family: Transfer RNA (tRNA) molecules are approximately 80 nucleotides in length.
Source: Rfam